RNAcentral lists this long non-coding RNA (1051 nucleotides) under Malus domestica (apple). RNAcentral describes it as "long non-coding RNA (MDOM_LNC019275)". Lineage: Eukaryota; Viridiplantae; Streptophyta; Magnoliopsida; Rosales; Rosaceae. The record is from RNAcentral.
UGCUAACCCAUUGUGACGCUAAAUGAUAAACCAAUAUUUAAACUAUAUAUUUCAUCCUUUUAUAUUUCUUUUCUUGUCUAAUUUAGUUGGAAGCUUUAAGUAUUUAUGAUACUUUUGAUUUAUUGUGUUUGUAGGAGAAGAAAGAAAGCUAAGAGAGACCAGAAAAUUGUGUGAAAGAAAGAAUAAAAUAGAAUGAGCAAAAACGCAGAAACGUGAAAAAGGGAAAGCAGGAUAAUUAAAGGGUAAUGGGCAGACAGCUGCCCUUGCAGCUGAGACUGACAACAAAAGGAGGGCAUGAAGACAGCGGGACAGAUAGAAGAGCGUGGGGGAAAAGAAAAAUAAAAGAAGAAUCCAAGGGAGACACGGGCCCUUGGCAGGGGAAAAGAAGAGAAGCAGGAAACGUGAGACACGGGGGUAGCGUGAAAAGAGGAAAAGAAUGAAAUAAGAGGGACAGACACGGGUAGGGAGAAAGAGGGGGGGUCUUGGAGCGGGGUGGACAGAGGGGCGGCCCUUUGGGCAGCUCGCAGACAAGGCAGCGCCUGGAGGGACAGAGGGAUAGACACGGGGUUGCAGAGACGCAAGAGACGUGGGCUUCGCAGGGGCAGAAAUAAAGAGAGAGUGAGAGGUCAGGAGGGCGUGACUGGAGAGGUAAGGACAGCAGCAGAUCUGUCUUUGCAGCUGGUAGGGAGGUCAGCACGCAGGGAGAAAGCUGCCUUUGGGCAGCGUAUGUAAGAGAGAGGGCAGCGGGGAAAGACAGAGGAGGACAGAGAACAGCUCGCAGGGGUUCAAAGGCACAGACAGAAACACUCUUCUCUCUCGGUUAAAUCUUUCCAACUUAUGAUUAAUUUUUGGUUUAAUUUUAGAAUAAUGUGUAGCUAAAUUUAUUUUGGCUAGAGGUUAAUUCAAAGCCAUGAAUAUAUUUGUAAUAUGAAUUGAUUACCUUCGGUUGUGAUUUCAUAAGUUGUGAUUUCAAUUUACUUAUUCGUUCGUAUAAAAACUGAUUUGUGUAUGUUGGUUGAGAGUGCACGCUUAAUUUACAUGCAUGAAUUUG